RNAcentral lists this ribosomal RNA (541 nucleotides) under uncultured bacterium. RNAcentral describes it as "bacterial SSU rRNA". It matches the Rfam family "Bacterial small subunit ribosomal RNA", at positions 8 to 526 of the family's 1533-position model. The record is from RNAcentral.
AGAGUUUGAUCCUGGCUCAGGACGAACGCUGGCGGCGUGCCUAACACAUGCAAGUCGAACGGAGGUUUUGCUUCGGUAGAACCUUAGUGGCGAACGGGUGAGUAACGCGUAGGCAACCUGCCCUUCAGUCUGGGACAACAUCCCGAAAGGGUUGCUAAUACCGGAUCCGAAGCUUUCAUCGCAUGGUGAGAGUUUGAAAGAUGGCCUCUGCACGCACGCUAUCGCUGAAGGAUGGGCCUGCGUCCGAUUAGCUGGUUGGUGGGGUAACGGCCUACCAAGGCGACGAUCGGUAGCCGGUCUGAGAGGAUGAACGGCCACAUUGGGACUGAGACACGGCCCAGACUCCUACGGGAGGCAGCAGUGGGGAAUCUUCCGCAAUGGGCGCAAGCCUGACGGAGCAACGCCGCGUGAGUGAGGAAGUUUUUCGGAACGUAAAGCUCUGUUGUACCUGACGAACGUGCCUUUUGUGAAGAAUGGGAGGCAAUGACGGUAGGGUACGAGGAAGCCACGGCUAACUACGUGCCAGCAGCCGCGGUAAUAC